GUUGAUCCAGGGACAACAACUAUUAAAAAUACUUAGUGAGUACAUAUAAGUCGGAGUUGUACCGGUUGAACCAAGUACAACUACCAUUACUGCAGGUACAACUACUAAUAAUACUUCAUGAAAACACAAUUCCAUAUCCAAAAUACAAAUUCAAAUAUUACAAAGAGUAGGUGGUAAUCAUACAAUAUUACCACCUUGAAAGUAACCCCCUAAGCCUCGCAAUCUCGACUUCUUUUGUGGCUAACCUCUCUUUAAGGUCAUCAAUUUCUUCACGCAUAAGACGAAGAGUUUCCCGGAUCGACUCCAAUGCAGGAUUUCCACCCCUCCCAUAUUCAAGAGAGGUUAACACGUCAUCUUUAUGUCUG
This 365-nucleotide long non-coding RNA is filed under the name Arabidopsis lyrata. RNAcentral's name for it is "long non-coding RNA (ALYR_LNC003343)". The record is from RNAcentral. Lineage: Eukaryota; Viridiplantae; Streptophyta; Magnoliopsida; Brassicales; Brassicaceae.